GAAACUAAGAAAUAGACUUGAAAUUUCAGAACCUGACACAGUCGCAGUUUAGAAUUGCGGUGAAUUCAGACAUGGGAAGCUCUUACUCGGCGAAGGAUAACGUCCACCGUCUGACUAUCGACGCAAAUUGGACAAUUUAAAUCCUGAUUUGGAUGAUAGCAAGUAUCAAGUCAUUCUGGAAAAUGUAAUUCAUGGAGUCGCAUUCAUUGUUGACCUGGACACGAUAGACAACAUCAGUGGGGUUAUGAAGACACAGUUUAAGGACAUGCAAACCAUUGUGGCACAAAAAUAUAUUUACAGGACUGUGAUUGGGACCAAAUUUGACCGAUUAGGGAUACCAGAGAAAGACGAUAGUUACAUUUAUCAAUACAAGGCACUACAGGAGAAGUUUGUAAAGUUGUCAGAAGAAACUGGGAUGGAGAAGCGCAGCAUAUUUGCCAUUUCAAAUGAAUGGAAUAGCGAUACGAUAGAUCAGACCAGAUGUGUGCUCAUUUUGCACGCAUUGGAAAAUACGGUCAGAAACAUAAAUGAAUACCUCAGAACAGCAGAAUAAUGAAUACACCUAAUCUUACAUAGAACUGUGUAACAAAUCCUGUUUCUCUAUUAUAGUGACCGACUGAGUUCACCUUAAAUGACACAACAUGAAAAUACAUUGGGCAGAAUUUUGCUUCCAAUUUCCACCCCUCUAUGCCCUUCACAUGGUCCAUCUGCAGCACUUCCCUCCCUUUCCUCUCUGUCUCCAUUUCUGGUAGUAGACUGUCCACCAAUAUUCAUUGCAAGCCCACUGACUCCCAUAGCUACCUUGACUACAGCUCCUUACACACUGCUUCCUGUAAGGGCUCCAUCCCAUUUGCUCAGUUCCUUCACCUCUAUCGCAUCUGAUCCGAUGAUGCCACUUUCCAAAACAAUGCUUCUGACAUGGCUUCCUUCCCCCUGAACCAAGGUUUCCCACCCACUGUGGUUGACAGGGCCCUCAACCGUGUCUGAUCCAUUUCCUGUGCCUCGGCCCUCACACCUUCCUCUCCCUCCCAGAACCAUGAAAGUUUCCCCCUUGUCUUCAAUUUUCUCCUCACCAGACUCCGCAUUCAAAGGAUCAUCCUCCGCCAUUUCCACCAACUCCAGCAUGAUGCCACCACCAAACACAUCUUCCCCUCAUCAUCUCCCCUCCCCAGCGUUCUGUAGGGAUCGUUCCCUCCGUGACACAAUGGUUCACUCCUUCAUCAUCCCCAACAGCUCAUCCCCCUCCUACGGCACCUUCCCAUGCAACCACAGAAGGUGCAACACAUGCCCCAUUACCCCCUCCCUCCUCACCAUCCAGGGCCCAAACACUCAUUUCAGGUGAAACAGCGCUUCAUUUGCAGCUCCUUCAGUUUGGUCUACUGCAUUCGCUGCUCCCAAUGCGGUCUCCUACAUUGGAGAGACCAAACGUAGGCUGGGUGACCACUUUGGGGAACACCUUCGGUCUGUCUGCAAGCAUGACCCAGACCUUCCUGUAGCUUGCAAUUUUAACACACCAUCCUGCUCUCAUGCCCACAUGUCCAUCCUUGGCCUGCUGCAAUGUUCCAGUGAAGCCCAAAGCAAACUGGAGGAACAACCUCAUCUUCCGACGAAGCACUUUACAGCCCUCUGGACUCUCUCUCCUCUAUCUUUGCCCCUUUUUAAUCUCCUAUUUUCAAAAUUCAUUUUUAUUUUUUAUCCACUUAUUUUUAUUCAUUUAUUCAUUGGUUUAUCCCCUUUUGUUAUCCCCACUUUCUAUAACACCAAGGUGCUUAACAGUCUGGUUCAGUCUCAGACAGUUACCAGGAAGAGAGAUGGGAGGAGUGAUAAGGGAAUGAAGUUUGUGGUCAGGACUGAAGACAAUAACUUUAUAAAUGGUGUGAUUCCGACAGUUACAUUAAAACCAAUGCAGGCUGUAAUUUCAGACCAGCCUGAGGUUCUCUUUGGGACUGGGUGAAACCAGGAAAUCAGGCUAUUGGCUGGGUGUUAUAUGAAUGAACAAUGUGUGGCUCAGUGAUGAGCCUGGCCGUAUGUUAUAGUAUUUCAGGAAUGAUUUCAACCAUUUACCAUCUUUAGAAAUGAUUGCACAACCUAAUUAAACCUGCAAAUGUGUUUCUCUCUCUGCGAGGUCUGGCUUAUGCCUUCAGUGACUCCUCCAUGAAUCUUUUAUUCCUGAUUCAGCAGGGAGAUUCUCUGUCCUUCAGCUUAUUCCUUUAUUUGUGUCUUAUUAAAAUCCAUACAUCUGUGUGCAUGAGAUCAUGCUCUAUUAACUUUUCAUCUUAAAGUACAUUAUGAGCAUUUAUAAAAUAGCAUUUAUUUCUGCUGGUAAAGCCCUAUAAAAAGAGUUUAAAAAAAACAAAAAAAUCUGCAUGUUUUCACAAUAAAAUGAUGAAAUACGUCCA
Molecule: long non-coding RNA, 2399 nt
Organism: Carcharodon carcharias (great white shark)
Lineage: Eukaryota; Metazoa; Chordata; Chondrichthyes; Lamniformes; Lamnidae
Exons: 5
Source: RefSeq, a predicted model, not a curated record